UAGUGGCGAACGGGUGAGUAACACGUGGGCAAUCUGCCCUUCACUCUGGGACAAGCCCUGGAAACGGGGUCUAAUACCGGAUAAUACCUGCCUGGGCAUCUGGGUGGGUUAAAAGCUCCGGCGGUGAAGGAUGAGCCCGCGGCCUAUCAGCUUGUUGGUGAGGUAGUGGCUCACCAAGGCGACGACGGGUAGCCGGCCUGAGAGGGCGACCGGCCACACUGGGACUGAGACACGGCCCAGACUCCUACGGGAGGCAGCAGUGGGGAAUAUUGCACAAUGGGCGAAAGCCUGAUGCAGCGACGCCGCGUGAGGGAUGACGGCCUUCGGGUUGUAAACCUCUUUCAGCAGGGAAGAAGCGAAAGUGACGGUACCUGCAGAAGAAGCGCCGGCUAACUACGUGCCAGCAGCCGCGGUAAUACGUAGGGCGCANGCGUUGUCCGGAAUUAUUGGGCGUAAAGAGCUCGUAGGCGGCUUGUCACGUCGGGUGUGAAAGCCCGCGGCNUAACCCCGGGUCUGCAUUCGAUACGGGCUAGCUAGAGUGUGGUAGGGGAGAUCGGAAUUNCCU
This 565-nucleotide ribosomal RNA is filed under the name Streptomyces sp. 334C03. RNAcentral describes it as "bacterial SSU rRNA". It matches the Rfam family "Bacterial small subunit ribosomal RNA", at positions 93 to 672 of the family's 1533-position model. The record is from RNAcentral. Lineage: Bacteria; Bacillati; Actinomycetota; Actinomycetes; Kitasatosporales; Streptomycetaceae.